AUUGAACGCUGGCGGCAGGCCUAACACAUGCAAGUCGAGCGAGCGGCGGACGGGUGAGUAAUGUAUGGGGAACUGCCUGAUAGAGGGGGAUAACUACUGGAAACGGUAGCUAAUACCGCAUACCAUCGGAUGUACCCAGAUGGGAUUAGCUAGUAGGUGGGGUAAUGGCUCACCUAGGCGCCGAUCCCUAGCUGGUCUGCGAGGAUGAUCAGCCACACUGGAACUGAGACACGGCCCAGACUCCUACGGGAGGCAGCAGUGGGGAAUAUUGCACAAUGGGCGCAAGCCUGAUGCAGCCAUGCCGCGUGUGUGAAGAAGGCCUUCGGGUUGUAAAGCACUUUCAGCGGGGAGGCGUUACCCGCAGAAGAAGCACCGGCUAACUCCGUGCCAGCAGCCGCGGUAAUAC
RNAcentral lists this ribosomal RNA (406 nucleotides) under uncultured bacterium. RNAcentral's name for it is "partial 16S ribosomal RNA". It matches the Rfam family "Bacterial small subunit ribosomal RNA", at positions 30 to 526 of the family's 1533-position model. The record is from RNAcentral.